RNAcentral lists this ribosomal RNA (402 nucleotides) under uncultured bacterium. RNAcentral's name for it is "bacterial SSU rRNA". It matches the Rfam family "Bacterial small subunit ribosomal RNA", at positions 356 to 774 of the family's 1533-position model. The record is from RNAcentral.
GGGGAAUAUUGCGCAAUGGGGGAAACCCUGACGCAGCAACGCCGCGUGAAGGAUGAAGGUUUUCGGAUCGUAAACUUCUUUGAUGAGGGACGAAGAAUGACGGUACCUCAAAAACAAGCCACGGCUAACUACGUGCCAGCAGCCGCGGUAAUACGUAGGUGGCGAGCGUUGUCCGGAAUUACUGGGUGUAAAGGGCGUGUAGGCGGGGAUACAAGUCAGAUGUGAAAUACCGUGGCUUAACCACGGGGCUGCAUCUGAAACUGUAUUUCUUGAGUGUCGGAGAGGAAAGUGGAAUUCCCAGUGUAGCGGUGAAAUGCGUAGAUAUUGGGAGGAACACCAGUGGCGAAGGCGACUUUCUGGACGGUAACUGACGCUGAGGCGCGAAAGCGUGGGGAGCAAACA